AGUGGAGUAGAGGUCUCAUAAUCAGGGAGGAAGAGCAACUUUGUGUUAAGUUUUCAAUGAAGAUUACUUCACUUCCUGAAUGUCCUCUUGUGGAUCAUGGAUCCUUUUUCACAUGGUGAAACAUCAGAAUUUCACUAGAAGUGCUGCCCUGCUUUAGCAAAGUGAGGGUUCUGAGUAAUCCAUAGCUUCUGAGUACAUAGUACAGGACUACUGACUUCACUGUUGUCCAGUAGAUGGCUACAAGAAGGUCCUUGUUCAAGAGCGCAGUAUGCAGGAAUAUUACUGGAAAGUAAAGUGAAAAACAAAGGUGAAUAAGAAACAGAAAAAAACACAUAUUUGAGAGAACUAGUUGUAUAUUAAAGAGUGUUAAAUUUUUUUUAGUCUUAUAAAAAAAUCUAAAUCACCUAAUCAUCAAAAUCAACAGAAAUUAUGUCACUAUGUGUAAGGGCCAGUCUUCAAGCUAAAUUCUCUACACGGUCAUGCUAAGCAGCAUUUUAAUUAAAUGCAUUCGCCAAUUCCUUUAAACAUUUUUUUUUUUUUUUCCACACAAGCAACAUUGGUUUUUACAAGUCAGACUUAAGUGUAGUGACAGCAAUGGUGUCAGAAGGUUUACAACCAGCACAACCAUCAGCCUCUCGAGCUGUCAUGCUUUGGAACGCAGCGCGGCGUCGGGGCACUCUGAGGUUAACGGUGUGGUGUCACACCGUUAAAUUCAAUCGGCCUUUUAUUGCCUUUUUUCUUAUCUGUCCCCAAGGGCAGACCAGACUAAGGCUAUGAGAGAUCUCUGAAGAAGAGAGACCGAAUCAUGUCCCAGACUGCGCUUGCACGUAAAAUGUGGCUGGCAGAUUAGUGUUGAUAUAUAUUUUUGCUGAUGGACUUAAGUCUUGCAUACCUACACUUUUCUUUUUUUUUUCUUUUUUUUUACUGGCCAUACAGCCUGAAUAGGAAUACAUGUUUUUUUUAUUUAGUUUUUUUUUUUGUUUGUUUUUUAAAGCACAUGUUUAGGUAGUGGGGAAGGACAUCACUUUCCCCAAACACAGGAUUAGUUUGAGUGUAGACGACGUCUAACUGACGUCAACUGCAAUGCUACAGGCAAUGAGAAGAGGGCAGGAAUAUACAAAAAAAAAAAAACACUUAAACUGAAAGAAAAUGAAAAAAAGAAAUGUGAAGACGAGGGAUGGAAGGUGUGGAAUUAAAAAGACAUGCACAUUUUGUGCAGAAGUGGAUAAACUGUGUUCAUGUUUAAAAGGUAUAUUUCUCUGUGCGUGUAAUCUGAAACAGGUCUGGUAUCUUUAGAGAUUAAUCCAACUCCAGCUUUAGACGUCACUCUCUAAUCCAUCAGAGUUAAAACAAGCUGCUCUCUGUAACCGGCUCUUGACCACAGCCAACUGCAAACUCUAUUUGUAAAAAACACCAUAUGUACAGCGAGAAUAGAUUUGGGAAUACUACAAAUCGUAGACAAACCAGUCACUAUUCACAGUUUGGUUUGUUGAAAAACUCUUACUUGUUAACGUAAAAUAAUCCUUUUUAACCGCACAGAUUUUAGUCUUGCGUUUAGAUUUACACUCAAAAAGGCUGCUGCGUGAUGAAGUGGACAGCCCAAGAGCGAGGUGAAAAAGACAUGGAGAGCAACAACGAAAGAGGAGAUGAAGAAGUGUGUGGGAGGCCAGGGAUGCCCUGCAGGAUAUUAUCAGAGGGCACGCACAAUAAAACAUCAUCGCACCUGACCCACAUGAACACAACCAUCUCCCCAAUGUGCACCGUGCGCGUAGAGCACAAAACCAGCCCAAUGCACCUGAUCCACACGAAUACAAGCCACAUGUGCACACCGUACACACCACACAGGAACAUAAAUGUUGUAUCGCACACCUGACGUUAAGUUUCCGACCCACACAAAUACGGUAUGCAUGGCAUACCAAGACACUCCGUCUGACCGACACAAGGCCCAAUGCGUGCACACUUUCAUACCUACAUAGGGUAUUUGUUACAAAUUUCUUUGAAUAACGGAGGCAAACAAAGCAUAUACCUAUCUGAAGUAAACUCUUCUGCCGCCUCAGGUCCUAUGUCUGUGACAUCCAGAAGCAGAUGGAGUUGAGAUAUUUUCUCCAUUUCUACUUUGUUUUGAAAAAAAGAUUUCAAUGAGAUUUAACUGCUUUAAAAAGUCAGUUUACUCAUUUUUAAUUGGCUUCACUACACAGUCACAUUUAGUUUACAGAAAAAGCACCAGGUCUCAAAUGAACAAACGUAAACAAAGCAUUUAAUUUUUUGUUUAGGAUGCAUGAAUGCCCCCAAUCUAUAGAUGCAAACGUUUUGACUCAAAAGCCUAUAUUUUAACAGGAAAAAUAAUAAAAUGUCAAAUAUUUUAUUAAUUAAUAAAAAAAAAAAUAAAUAAAAAAAAAAGGAAAACCUCAAGGUACGGACAAUGUGGACAUCUGCAGCUUAUAGACAAGAGUAAUUUUUUGGGGGGCGUCAAAGUUGGCUUAUAUUCAGGUGCGUUCAAUAGUCUGGAAAAAAGAUCCCAAAUAAGAUCUGAAUAUUUAAAAUCAUAAAUCUGUUAAUAAAUCAAUUCUCUAUAUACAUUUCUUAUAAUCACCCUACAGUUUUUCUGAACAAUCUUUUUCAACCACAGUUAAAUAUCCCUUCUCAAGUCUUUUUUUUUUUUUUAAUUUGACCCUUUUUCUUUUCUGUAGCCAUCUCCCCCUGACCAGCGUCUUCUGUUUUUCUUUGUCCUCUCUCCUCCAAUUACCUUCAACCACCUCACCUCACUCCGACCAUCCCAUCGCCCUGCUGCCCCCGAGCUGUGUUGCGUGCUGCGCCGUGUUGUCAUGAGACUGUCCAUCUUCAGACCGCUGUGUGUUUUACACAACAUGGUAAAUGGCCUGUACUUCCAAAGCGCUUUAUCAAGUCCAGAGGACCCCAAAGCGCUUCACACUCCACGCGCAGUCAUUCACCCAUUCACACCCCGAUGGUCCGAUGGUGGCAGGCUGCAGGAGCUUCUUAAGACACCGGCCAAUUUUAAGGUAUCAAAUUUUUUUUAAGUCACAUUUGAUAUACAGAGCAUUUUUACCAAAGGCAACAAUUACUUGAUUGUACUAUGAAAUGGCCCUGUGUCUUCAAAGUACAUAACACUGCUCCUUUCAGCUUAAGGUGCAGUGUUUUUUGAUUACCGUUUUUUUUUUCUUCUUCUUCUUUUUCAAAGUUGGCAUAGUUUAGAAAAAGACAGCAUUUAUCUUAUGCAUAUUUAUGGAUUGGAUACAAGUAUCAUUUUAUAGCAAGAUUAAAACAUUGCGGAAUUUCAAAACUGCUGAAAAUUUUUCAUCUUACCAUGUCAACAGUUAAAAUGGCUGCCUGAGAAACAGGCCCCCACUCUUUUCCACUGCUUGCAAGUAAAAAAGGCCGACAGUUUGGCAACAUUUGUGUAAGCUAAAGAAGUGCCACCUCUCCCUCUUAUGGAUGCAACAGUUUUAAACCAGCAGCUGGAGAGCUAAUAUGGCAGCUCUAUUAAACAAUUGACUACAGGCUCUACCAGUGCAGAUAGCCUUACUAACCGAUUAAUACAAGCCCGAUAAAUGCUUUACUCUCUAAUGUCCACAACUUUUAGAUGCAUCUCUGGUCUAACCCUUGAAUAAUUUCCUCCGUAUGCAGUCAAGUUCUCUGAAGUGAUACUAAUGAUCCAGUUAUUUAUGUAUUUAAGUAGACAGAUUUAAAGUUGCAGGACACCGGCCCUGGAGGAUCGGAGUUUGACAUCUAUUAAAAAGAGGGAAGAUUAAACGGUAAAAUAUUCUACAUAAUAUGGACCUGAAAGCUACUAAUACAUUCAGUAAGAUUUUAUUCUGUGUUUUGACUGUGUAUCAAAAAUAAAAAUAACUAUAUGUAAAAAUAAGAAUCAAUAGUAUUUUGUUAUCAGCAACAGUAACUCUUGCUUUUCUGACUAAAAUAAAAGCAAUAUGGCAUUGCUAUACAUCUUAGAUUUAGUCAUUUGUUUUUAUUAAAAUAUUGUUAUGAAGUUACUUCUGAGUUUCCCCUCUUGUAUAACUGCUGAUUUAGCUGCAUGCACAAUUUCAUAUGAACCAACAUCUCAUGCAGAAAAAACAUCUAUGAUGACUAUCGGUACGUGUGAGUGACUGAUGCUGGAGUCAGAGUCAUUAAGUCAGUCACUGCACUUUAGAAAUCUUUCACUGGCUUUGAGUUUUUAACAUUACUGACACAAAGUCAAACAUUUUUGACUAAAGUAAAAACAGCAAAACUUAAUGCACUUACAUUUGAUCUUCGUUUAUGUUAUGAACCAAUUCUUGCAUAGGAAAGAAUCAACAGCAUAGGAAGACAAAAUGCAGAUUUGUGUCUAAACUACAAACAAUUCAAUGUGCAACUCUCUUUUACCCAAGACUAUUUCCUUUCACCAUGGGAACUAUUUCUGAAACUAAGACUCUGUGGUUUGAAACCACAGAGUCUUAGUAUGGUGCCUAGUUUUUUGUUUUUGUUUUUUUAUCCCAUUUUUUAUAUGGAUUAAACUCUAUUUUAACUUUAUCUUUUAUUCCCAUUUCCUACCUCCCUUCAUUCUAAAUCACAUUCAAACCAACCACCUCCCAUCCUGCCUGUUUAUGCCUGCCUCUCAUUUAUGUUUUAUUUCAUGCCUUGCCAAA
Molecule: long non-coding RNA, 4643 nt
Organism: Poecilia latipinna (sailfin molly)
Lineage: Eukaryota; Metazoa; Chordata; Actinopteri; Cyprinodontiformes; Poeciliidae
Exons: 2
Source: RefSeq, a predicted model, not a curated record